GUGCGCUUUGCCUGUGUCUUUGAGACCAGUGCCCUGGUCCCCAGGACAGCAUCAAAGGCCCUCCAGUAAGAGAUGCUCUCAGGAGGCUGCAGGAAAUACCACGGCCAAAGCGAGGUGGCGCAGGAGGGCGGCUCCGCAGGAUGUGCAAACAGCGCCGCUGGUGGAGAAGACCAGGGGAGAUGGCUGGGACCCGUGCUGUGACCCCGGGUCACCGACGCGGUGGAUGUACAGAGGACAAAAUGAGACGUCUGUGCUGCUUGGAAAACGUGAGGGCUGAUUCCAAAGCUGAGGUAGUACUUACCAUCGUGGGAUGGCCCACAAACGCUGACAGCGGUAGCAGGGUCUCAGUGUGACAUGCGGGACGUCACCGGUCAGUAUUUUAGCCUCUGUUUGCCCUCCCAGGACAUAGACACUUCUUACUCCACUGGCUUAUAAAGAUUGAGGAAGUGUAAUCAUUUACAAACAAAACAAAGUCUAAGCUAAUUAAAACAUUUAUU
Lynx canadensis (Canada lynx) is the source of this 497-nucleotide long non-coding RNA. RefSeq lists it as uncharacterized. Lineage: Eukaryota; Metazoa; Chordata; Mammalia; Carnivora; Felidae. The transcript is spliced from 3 exons. The record is from RefSeq and is a predicted model, not a curated record.